This 2624-nucleotide ribosomal RNA is filed under the name Streptococcus pneumoniae. RNAcentral's name for it is "bacterial LSU rRNA". It matches the Rfam family "Bacterial large subunit ribosomal RNA". Lineage: Bacteria; Bacillati; Bacillota; Bacilli; Lactobacillales; Streptococcaceae. The record is from RNAcentral.
UACUCUUCGGGGUUGUAGGACUGCAAUGUGGACUCAAAGAUUAUAGAAGAAUGAUUUGGGAAGAUCAGCCAAAGAGAGUAAUAGCCUCGUAUUUAAAAUAGUCUUUGUACUUAGCAGUAUCCUGAGUACGGCGGGACACGUGAAAUCCCCUCGGAAUCUGGGAGGACCAUCUCCCAACCCUAAAUACUCCCUAGUGACCGAUAGUGAACCAGUACCGUGAGGGAAAGGUGAAAAGCACCCCGGGAGGGGAGUGAAAUAGAACCUGAAACCGUGUGCCUACAACAAGUUCGAGCCCGUUAAUGGGUGAGAGCGUGCCUUUUGUAGAAUGAACCGGCGAGUUACGUUAUGAUGCGAGGUUAAGUUGAAGAGACGGAGCCGUAGGGAAACCGAGUCUGAAUAGGGCGCCUUAGUAUCAUGACGUAGACCCGAAACCAUGUGACCUACCCAUGAGCAGGUUGAAGGUGCGGUAAGACGCACUGGAGGACCGAACCAGGGCACGUUGAAAAGUGCUUGGAUGACUUGUGGGUAGCGGAGAAAUUCCAAACGAACUUGGAGAUAGCUGGUUCUCUCCGAAAUAGCUUUAGGGCUAGCGUCGACAUUAGAGAUUCUUGGAGGUAGAGCACUGUUUGGGUGAGGGGUCCAUCCCGGAUUACCAAUCUCAGAUAAACUCCGAAUGCCAAUGAAUUAUGGUCGGCAGUCAGACUGCGAGUGCUAAGAUCCGUAGUCGAAAGGGAAACAGCCCAGACCACCAGCUAAGGUCCCAAAAUAAUUGUUAAGUGGAAAAGGAUGUGGGGUUGCACAGACAACUAGGAUGUUAGCUUAGAAGCAGCUAUUCAUUCAAAGAGUGCGUAAUAGCUCACUAGUCGAGUGACCCUGCGCCGAAAAUGUACCGGGGCUAAAACAAUUUACCGAAGCUGUGGAUACCUUUAUAGGUAUGGUAGGAGAGCGUUCUAUGUGUGAUGAAGGUAUACCGUGAGGAGUGCUGGAACGCAUAGAAGUGAGAAUGCCGGUAUGAGUAGCGAAAGACAGGUGAGAAUCCUGUCCACCGUAAGACUAAGGUUUCCAGGGGAAGGCUCGUCCGCCCUGGGUUAGUCGGGACCUAAGGAGAGACCGAAAGGUGUAUCCGAUGGACAACAGGUUGAUAUUCCUGUACUAGAGUAUGUAGUGAUGGAGGGACGCAGUAGGCUAACUAAAGCAGACGAUUGGAAGAGUCUGUCUAAGCAGUGAGGUGUGAAUUGAGUCAAAUGCUUAAUUCUAUAACAUUGAGCUGUGAUGGGGAGCGAAGUUUAGUAGCGAAGUUAGUAACGUCACACUGCCAAGAAAAGCUUCUAGCGUUUAACCAUACUCUACCCGUACCGCAAACCGACACAGGUAGUCGAGGCGAGUAGCCUCAGGUGAGCGAGAGAACUCUCGUUAAGGAACUCGGCAAAAUGACCCCGUAACUUCGGGAGAAGGGGUGCUGACUUUAAGUCAGCCGCAGUGAAUAGGCCCAAGCAACUGUUUAUCAAAAACACAGCUCUCUGCUAAAUCGUAAGAUGAUGUAUAGGGGGUGACGCCUGCCCGGUGCUGGAAGGUUAAGAGGAGUGCUUAGCGUAAGCGAAGGUAUGAAUUGAAGCCCCAGUAAACGGCGGCCGUAACUAUAACGGUCCUAAGGUAGCGAAAUUCCUUGUCGGGUAAGUUCCGACCCGCACGAAAGGCGUAAUGAUUUGGGCACUGUCUCAACGAGAGACUCGGUGAAAUUUUAGUACCUGUGAAGAUGCAGGUUACCCGCGACAGGACGGAAAGACCCCAUGGAGCUUUACUGCAGUUUGAUAUUGAGUGUCUGUACCACAUGUACAGGAUAGGUAGGAGUCUAAGAGAUCGGGACGCCAGUUUCGAAGGAGACGCUGUUGGGAUACUACCCUUGUGUUAUGGCCACUCUAACCCAGAUAGGUGAUCCCUAUCGGAGACAGUGUCUGACGGGCAGUUUGACUGGGGCGGUCGCCUCCUAAAAGGUAACGGAGGCGCCCAAAGGUUCCCUCAGAAUGGUUGGAAAUCAUUCGCAGAGUGUAAAGGUAUAAGGGAGCUUGACUGCGAGAGCUACAACUCGAGCAGGGACGAAAGUCGGGCUUAGUGAUCCGGUGGUUCCGUAUGGAAGGGCCAUCGCUCAACGGAUAAAAGCUACCCUGGGGAUAACAGGCUUAUCUCCCCCAAGAGUUCACAUCGACGGGGAGGUUUGGCACCUCGAUGUCGGCUCGUCGCAUCCUGGGGCUGUAGUCGGUCCCAAGGGUUGGGCUGUUCGCCCAUUAAAGCGGCACGCGAGCUGGGUUCAGAACGUCGUGAGACAGUUCGGUCCCUAUCCGUCGCGGGCGUAGGAAAUUUGAGAGGAUCUGCUCCUAGUACGAGAGGACCAGAGUGGACUUACCGCUGGUGUACCAGUUGUCUUGCCAAAGGCAUCGCUGGGUAGCUAUGUAGGGAAGGGAUAAACGCUGAAAGCAUCUAAGUGUGAAACCCACCUCAAGAUGAGAUUUCCCAUGAUUAUAUAUCAGUAAGAGCCCUGAGAGAUGAUCAGGUAGAUAGGUUAGAAGUGGAAGUGUGGCGACACAUGUAGCGGACUAAUACUAAUAGCUCGAGGACUUAUCCAA